UUAAACGGUAGGGUAUUGGCCUACCGUGGCAAUGACGGGUAACGGGGAAUUAGGGUUCGAUUCCGGAGAGGGAGCCUGAGAAACGGCUACCACAUCUAAGGAAGGCAGCAGGCGCGCAAAUUACCCAAUCCUAAUACAGGGAGGUAGUGACAAGAAAUAACAAUACAGGACUUUUUGGUUUUG
This 183-nucleotide ribosomal RNA is filed under the name Cryptosporidium parvum. RNAcentral's name for it is "partial 18S ribosomal RNA". It matches the Rfam family "Eukaryotic small subunit ribosomal RNA", at positions 321 to 505 of the family's 1831-position model. The record is from RNAcentral. Lineage: Eukaryota; Apicomplexa; Conoidasida; Eucoccidiorida; Cryptosporidiidae.